GGUUAAUGGUUGGAAAGAACUGGACUUGUCUGAAUAGAGCAAAACUACUUUGGAAGAGUGGGUAAAAGGAUUAGUGAGAAAAAGUGGCUCAGUAGCACAGGCCUUUUAUUGUCAACUCUCCAUCGAAAGAUAAAUUUAAUAAAACAGUCAUCUAUAACAAGAAGCAAUGGUUCAACAAAUUCAAUUCAGAGAGCACUUCUCUUGUUUCCUGGUAGUGGGGAGGCCCCUGAGGGAUAAUUAAACCACGGUUUAAGCUAUUUACAAUCCUAGAAGAGAGAAGGAUUAAGUUUUUUAUGCCACAGUCAUCAAUAUUAAAACUUCAAGGUAAAGUACUCCUUUUUAAGGAUUUUCAGUUAGGUGGCUCAACAUAAUUAAGAAUUUUGUCGUUGGACAGUCUCUAUGCAUACAUAAAUGAGUAGAAACAUGCAUUUAAAAUGUUUACAUAUAUAUACAUAUAAUACAUAUAUACAUACACACACAAGGUGUCCAAAAGUCUUAGGGUACAGUUUUAAGCUUUAACUUCACUAAGACUUUUGAGACAUGUUAUAUAUGGACAAGGUUGGGGUUGGAUAGUUUAGGAACACAAAAAUUAUUUCCUUUCUCUUUUUCUUUUCCACAAUUGUGAUAAUAAACUCAUUUUCAAAAAAAGUCAUACAAAGAUCUCUCUCUAUCCUCUGUGAAGUUACCUAAAAUCUUCUUUAAUGUGUUUUCAGACCCAACACCUUUGGUGGGAGGUUAGCAGAGGAACUAUCUCCAAUAGUUAAAUGGUAUAGGGAAAGACCUCUUGACUGCCUUUUGCUCUGGACAUCUUGUCACAUCCAGACCAGGUUUCUCUCCCUCCCCCCAGGAGGAAACAACCUAGGGUGGGUCUUGUUGGUUUCUAAGGCAACCUUUCUUCUUCAGUCCAGAGUGGUGAGCUUUUUGCAUAGUGGAUAGGACAGCGACUGAGAACAGUUAAACCCCAGAGACAGAAGCUAUCUGUUAUUCAUCUUGGGUCCCGGCGGUUCUCCACCUGCGGGGGGGGGGGGUCUCUGGGGGGAGAUGGGAACCGCUGGUGUUUGCCUCCAGGGAGUUUAAACAAAAGGAAUUUAGGGGAAUUAUUCAGUUUUCUCUCCCCGCCCUCCCCAGACUUUUUUAAGCAAUCCAAAAACUCUAGACAUUUAUUUGAAAAGUGUUCUAGGGAACAUACCCUGAGGUCAGCUAUACCUAAGAUCAGUUAACUACUGAGAAGCCUUGGAGAGGGAAAAGCGACCGAAUGAGGCGGGGGCAUUUUCCCAAUUCUCCGCUAAGGCUUAUAAGCAUUCUUCUUCCCGGAUGGACACCCGAAGUGUACAGAAAAGUCAGAUUCAGGUCCAGUUCUGCCACGUCAAGAGAAUGAUCAAACAGGUCCUCUUCAUUUCACACCUAGACUACUACAAGAGCCUGUUGGUGUUCCUGUGCACUAAAGUGAUUUUCCUAAAGUGCAGAACCAUGUCCGACCAGGUCAUCACCACCCUACUCAAAACACACCAGUGCCUUCCCUAUUACCUCGAGGAUCAUAUAUAAAAUCUCCUGUUUCUAGUCUUCUUAGACCUGACUCUCUCCCUUACCCUCCCCCAAUAUUCUUUGAUCCAGUGACACUGGCCACCUUACUAUAAAGUCGAACCCGGCACUCCA
This is a long non-coding RNA of Phascolarctos cinereus (koala), 1656 nucleotides long. RefSeq lists it as uncharacterized. The record is from RefSeq and is a predicted model, not a curated record. Lineage: Eukaryota; Metazoa; Chordata; Mammalia; Diprotodontia; Phascolarctidae.